GGCGCCUAAAUGUUCGGUGGCUAUGGCUAAUCCUCCAUAGACACUGUUUUGUAACUGAGCGCUAGAUAAAUGUGACCACUGAACCAUUGGUGCUGCUGUUAUUACCUAGCAGCACUUCACUGAUUUGUGGCCCACAUU
RNAcentral lists this small nucleolar RNA (138 nucleotides) under Drosophila virilis. RNAcentral describes it as "snoRNA:GJ25386". The record is from RNAcentral. Lineage: Eukaryota; Metazoa; Arthropoda; Insecta; Diptera; Drosophilidae.